Teleopsis dalmanni is the source of this 184-nucleotide long non-coding RNA. RefSeq lists it as uncharacterized. The record is from RefSeq and is a predicted model, not a curated record. The transcript has 2 exons. NCBI's taxonomy places the organism in Eukaryota, Metazoa, Arthropoda, Insecta, Diptera, Diopsidae.
UCACUUGGAUUCAAAUUUCUUUAGUGGAACAAAACUUCUUUAAAUUACGUUUUGGAAAGCUGAGCACUGUGUUCUGAAAUAAUACGCUGAGCUCGGAUUUAGCUGAGCACGGAUUACAGUAAUUAACAUCGGGGUUCUACUAUUUAAAAGUUGUCCAAAAGAGGAGAAGGAGUUUCAGUAAGGG